RNAcentral lists this ribosomal RNA (460 nucleotides) under uncultured bacterium. RNAcentral's name for it is "partial 16S ribosomal RNA". It matches the Rfam family "Bacterial small subunit ribosomal RNA", at positions 338 to 795 of the family's 1533-position model. The record is from RNAcentral.
CCUACGGGAGGCAGCAGUGAGGAAUAUUGGUCAAUGGACGAGAGUCUGAACCAGCCAAGUAGCGUGAAGGAUGACUGCCCUAUGGGUUGUAAACUUCUUUUAUAUGGGAAUAAAAUGUUCCACGUGUGGGAUUUUGUAUGUACCAUAUGAAUAAGGAUCGGCUAACUCCGUGCCAGCAGCCGCGGUAAUACGGAGGAUCCGAGCGUUAUCCGGAUUUAUUGGGUUUAAAGGGAGCGUAGGUGGAUUGUUAAGUCAGUUGUGAAAGUUUGGGGCUCAACCGUAACAUUGCAGUUGAAACUGGCAGUCUUGAGUACAGUAGAGGUGGGCGGAAUUCGUGGUGUAGCGGUGAAAUGCUUAGAUAUCACGAAGAACUCCGAUUGCGAAGGCAGUUCACUGGACUGCAACUGACACUGAGGCUCGAAAGUGUGGGUAUCAAACAGGAUUAGAUACCCCUGUAGUC